This 484-nucleotide ribosomal RNA is filed under the name uncultured bacterium. Its description in RNAcentral is "partial 16S ribosomal RNA". It matches the Rfam family "Bacterial small subunit ribosomal RNA", at positions 30 to 507 of the family's 1533-position model. The record is from RNAcentral.
AUUGAACGCUGGCGGCAGGCCUAACACAUGCCAGUCGAGCGGAUGAAGGGAGCUUGCUCCUGGAUUCAGCGGCGGACGGGUGAGUAAUGCCUAGGAAUCUGCCUGGUAGUGGGGGAUAACGUCCGGAAACGGGCGCUAAUACCGCAUACGUCCUGAGGGAGAAAGUGGGGGAUCUUCGGACCUCACGCUAUCAGAUGAGCCUAGGUCGGAUUAGCUAGUUGGUGGGGUAAAGGCCUACCAAGGCGACGAUCCGUAACUGGUCUGAGAGGAUGAUCAGUCACACUGGAACUGAGACACGGUCCAGACUCCUACGGGAGGCAGCAGUGGGGAAUAUUGGACAAUGGGCGAAAGCCUGAUCCAGCCAUGCCGCGUGUGUGAAGAAGGUCUUCGGAUUGUAAAGCAUUUUAAGUUGGGAGGAAGGGCAGUAAGUUAAUACCUUGCUGUUUUGACGUUACCAACAGAAUAAGCACCGGCUAACUUCGUG